GGUGGGAUGGCAGAGUGGCCGAACGCGGCGGUCUUGAAAACCGUUAGGCCGGAAACGGUCUCGGGGGUUCGAAUCCCUCUCCCACCGCCA
RNAcentral lists this transfer RNA (90 nucleotides) under Oceanipulchritudo coccoides. RNAcentral's name for it is "tRNA-Ser". It matches the Rfam family "tRNA". Rfam says of the family: Transfer RNA (tRNA) molecules are approximately 80 nucleotides in length. Their secondary structure includes four short double-helical elements and three loops (D, anti-codon, and T loops). The record is from RNAcentral. Lineage: Bacteria; Pseudomonadati; Verrucomicrobiota; Opitutia; Puniceicoccales; Oceanipulchritudinaceae.